ACGCAAGCUGAUUCCCUCUCCAGGGGGCCUGCUCAUGUCCCUCUUCAGGAAAGUUACAACCUGGAAGAAAAUCUGGCAUGUUUGCGGUUGCUGGUGGAGAGAGCAUUUCUGUUUCCCUUGUUUUCCUUUGGCUGUGUACACUC
Molecule: small nucleolar RNA, 143 nt
Organism: Mustela putorius furo (domestic ferret)
Lineage: Eukaryota; Metazoa; Chordata; Mammalia; Carnivora; Mustelidae
Source: Ensembl